AUUGCAGGCUGCAACCCGCCUGCAUGAAGUCGGAAUUGCUAGUAAUCGCGAAUCAGAAUGUCGCGGUGAAUACGUUCCCGGGUCUUGUACACACCGCCCGUCACACCAUGGGAGUCGGGAAUGCCCGAAGUCAGUGACCCAACCGGAAGGGAGGGAGCUGCCGAAGGCAGGCUCGAUAACUGGGGUGAAGUCGUAACAAGGUAGC
This 205-nucleotide ribosomal RNA is filed under the name uncultured bacterium. RNAcentral describes it as "partial 16S ribosomal RNA". It matches the Rfam family "Bacterial small subunit ribosomal RNA", at positions 1297 to 1500 of the family's 1533-position model. The record is from RNAcentral.